CCUACGGGGGACAGCAGUGGGGGAUAUUGCCCAAUGGGGGGAACCCUGAUGCAGCGACGCCGCGUGUGUGAAGGAGCUUUUCGGCGCGUACAGCCCUAUCGGCAGGGAAGAAGAUUACGGUACCUGGCCACUCAUCCCCGGCUAACUCCGUGCCAGCCGCCGCGGUCAUACGUAGGGGGCAAGCGUUAUCCGGAUUUACUGGGUGUAACGGGGGCGCAGACGGCAAUGCAAGCCAGGAGUGAAAGCCCGGGGCCCAACCCCGGGACUGCUCUUGGAACUGCAUGGCUGGAGUACAGGAGGGGCAGGCGGAAUUCCUAGUGUAGCGGUGAAAUGCGUAGAUAUUAGGAGGAACAUCGGUGGCGAAGGCGGCCUGCUGGACUGUGACUGACGUUGAGGCCCGAAGGCGUGGGGAGCAAACAGGAUUAGAUACCCGGGUAGUC
RNAcentral lists this ribosomal RNA (440 nucleotides) under uncultured bacterium. RNAcentral describes it as "partial 16S ribosomal RNA". It matches the Rfam family "Bacterial small subunit ribosomal RNA", at positions 338 to 795 of the family's 1533-position model. The record is from RNAcentral.